Molecule: non-coding RNA, 28 nt
Filed under: Mus musculus (house mouse)
Lineage: Eukaryota; Metazoa; Chordata; Mammalia; Rodentia; Muridae
Source: RNAcentral
UGUUGUUUUUCCUACUCAGGGAUUGGUG